This 181-nucleotide small RNA is filed under the name Ectopseudomonas oleovorans. RNAcentral's name for it is "Pseudomonas oleovorans Pseudomonas sRNA P1". It matches the Rfam family "Pseudomonas sRNA P1". Rfam says of the family: There appears to be two related copies of P1 sRNA in the P.aeruginosa PA01 genome and both copies appear to be located upstream of predicted glutamine synthetase genes. This sRNA appears to be conserved amongst several Pseudomonas species. P1 has a predicted Rho independent terminator at the 3' end but the function of P1 is unknown. Lineage: Bacteria; Pseudomonadati; Pseudomonadota; Gammaproteobacteria; Pseudomonadales; Pseudomonadaceae. The record is from RNAcentral.
ACACCCGUAUUAUUGCUGUUAUGGGUUUGAACCGAGCUUAGCCUUGUUCAUUUUUUUACACAAUAGUCCUGUAAAAAAUUGAACACACCCCCACUGAGCAACCUGAAAGAUCAACGCUUGGAGCCCGCUGAAAGGCCUUGAAAUGCCCCAGAAAUGGCCACCAUGCCCCACUACAGGGCAU